UUUUUUUUUUUUUUUUUUUUGAGGGCCACACUCACGGCAUAUGGAGGGUCCCAGGCUAAGUGUCUAAUCUGAGCUACAGCUGCUGGCCUACACCACAGCUACAGUAAUGUGGGAUCCAAGCCUUAUCUAUGACCUACACCACAGCUCAUGGCAAUGCUGGAUUCUUAACCCACUGAGUAAGGCCGGGAUCUAACCCACAACCUCAUUGUUCCUAGUUGGAUUCAUUUCUGCUGCGUCAUGACAGGAACUCCUGACAUUUUUUUUUUUUUUUUUAAUGCUGCGUCUGAAACACAUGGAAGUUCCCAGGCUAGGGGCUGAAUCAGAGCUGCAGCUGCAGGACUACACCACAGCCACAGCAGCAUCAGAUCCAGGCCACAUCUGCUACCUGUGCCACAGCUUGCAGUAACAUUGGAUCUUUAAUGGCCAGGGAUUGAACCUGUAUCCUUCCAGACACUGUGUUAGGUUCUUAACCUGCUGAGGCACAGCAGAAACUCCUCAUUUUAUUUUUAAAGUAAAUACUUGGUUUCACUGGAGGGAGAUCUGGUGAGAGGUGGGUCAGUCAAGCACAGGGAUACCUACGUUGUUGCUGGUGGGUUUCCUCCCCCUCUGAAAAUCCAGACCCCAUGUCUAAAAAGGUAUUUUAUAUUCUAGGAAAGAAAUUGUGAAUAAGACUAGGCAGUCUUGGGACUCUGUAGUUUUCACUCUCUAACAUGAUAUUAGGUUUGUUUUUUGUUUUUGUCUUUUUGCCAUUUCUUGGGCUGCUCCCGUGGCAUAGGGAGGUUCCCAGGCCAGGGGUCGAAUCAGAGCUGUAGCCGCCGGCCUACGCCAGAGCCACAGCAACGCAGAAUCUGAGCUGCGUCUCCAACCCACACCACAGUUCACGGCAAUGCCGGAUCUUUAACCCUUGCUCAGGUCAGGGAUCGAACCCGCAACCUCAUGGUUCUUAGUUGGAUUUGUUAACCACUGCGCCAUGACAGGAACUCCUGGAAUCAGGUUUUGUAGGUCAGAAUCCCCUACCCACCUCUGGCCUUGGGUGUGAUUUAUAAUCUCUUCCAGCCUCAGUUUUCUCAUCUGUAAAGUACCUGCCUCUGAGAAUUGUUUGUGAAGAUUAAAUAUGAUAAUGGAUGAGAAGUAUUCACCUUUGUAGGUAGUAAGCGCUCAAUUCAUGAGAUGUUGUUAUCUUUAUUAUCAUUGGAUCCAGUGAGCAACUGGAUUAAAGUCUCCAUUCAACAAAUGCAUAUAUCCUGUUAUUUCUAUAUGCAAAUGAAUGUGUGAGAUUCCAAAGGACUCACAGCUGAAUGAAACAUGCCCUCAAAGGAUUAAUUCCACUAUUAAGUAGGAAUAAAUUUAAUUGUCAGCAUUGCUUUAAUCUCAUCUUAUAUGUUAAGUAUUUUCUAUACAUUUGCUCAUAUAGUUUUCAAAAUAAACCUUAGGCUAAGCACUAUAUAAAAGCCCAUUUUACAGAUGCAGGAUCUGAGGCCUGGAAACUGAGGUAGGUUUGUGUGUCUUUGCCUCCCUGGAGCCACUGCCUCUGAGUCCUCAUGAUCUGGGGUGACUGUAGGCUCUGAUUCAGGUGAUGGGGAAGAGGUGGGGUGCAGCAGGGGAAUUAGCAGUGCCGUGGGCGUCCCCAGGAGGAAAAGUUGAUGUGAAGACAGUUUGCAGUCAAUCUCAGGACAGGCCUUUUGGAGGAGGUUGUAUUUGUUGCUCAUAGGACAUUUAUAGAGAUGGUGGAAUGUUCCUCUUAAGUGGAGGGGACAGCAGAGCAAAGGCCCAGAGGCAGGAACAUUCCAUGUGCCCCAAGGCCCAGACUGUCUGGGGUGGAGGAAACACGUGAGGCAAUCAUGGAAUGAGGUAACAUGCUCCCACCCCCACCCAAUCUGAUGCAGUUUAUCAGGUCUGAGGAUAGACAUGCCUUUUGGCAUCUCAUCUUGGGUCAUUUGGUCAAGUUUUCUGGAGUAUGCUCUCUGACCCCUACACAAAAUGCCACUUACUGCUUACCUUUUUUCUUCUUCUUCUAAUUUUGUAUACAUUUUCUUUUUUAAAAAUUGAAUAAAAGAUGAUUCAAAUUCUAUAGUGCUUUACAACUUUCAAAAGUGUUGCACACAGGAUUUCAUAUAAUCCUAUAAGAGCCCUUCUUGUCCCCCCACCCCUAUGUUGUCCCACCCCCCUUCCCUCUCCCCACCAGUUUGUUCUUUGUAUCUGGGAGUCUGCUUCUUUUUUGUUUUAUCCACUUGUUUAUUUUUUAGAGUCCACAUAUUAGUGAUAUUGUACAGUAUUUAUCUUUCUCUGACUGAUCUAUUUCACUUAGCAUCAUCCCCUCCAAGCCUACCCAUGAUGCUGCAAAUGGCCAGAGUUCAUUCUUUUUUACAGCUAUGUAGUAAUUCAUCGCAUAUUUCUAUACCACAUCUUUAUCCACUCAUCUAUUGAUGGACACUUAGGUUGCUUCCAUACUUUGGCAAUUGUAAAUAAUGUUCCUGUGAACAUUGGGGUGCAUGGCAUGCUUCCUUCAUCAACUUGGCAGGAAUUCAAAACUGUCGAGUAGCUGUAGGUUUUGAUAUGACCUGAGAAAGCCUUUAUGGAGAGCAUUUGGGAAGAAUGCUUCAAAAAUGGUCACAUUUUGACUUAGCAUUUCCAUUCCUAGGAGCCUUGUCUUUGGAAAUACUUAAGCCCGCAAAAGACAUAUUAAGGGUUAUAAUGUUUCCUGUAGUGCUGCUAAUAAUGAUAAAAAUUUGAAGUUGACUUACAUAUAUUGUAGGAGAUGGAAAAAUUAUGGCACCUUCCUAAAGUAGCAUAUUCUACAUUUAACUAAGAAAAUGAGGUGAAUGUCUGUGUCCUGACAUGUACACACAUCAUGAUAUAUUAAAUUUAAAAAGCCAGAGAAAGGGAGUUCCUGUUGUGACUCAGUGGAAACAAACCCCACUAGUAUCCAUGAGGAUGUGGGUUCAAUCCCUGGCCUUGCUCAGUGGCUUAAGGAUCCAGUGUUGCCGUGAGUUGUGGUGUAGGUUCGAAGACCUAGCUCGGAUCUGGUGUUGCCAUGGCUGUGGUGUAUGCCAGCAGCUGUAGCUCUGAUUUGACCCUUAGCCUGGAAAUUUCUUUUUCUUUUUUUUUUUUAAGUUUAUAUGAUUUUUAUUUUUUCCAUUACAGUUGAUUUUCAGUGUUCUGUCAGUUUCUAUUGUACAGCAAAGUGAUGCAGUUUUCUUUUUCGCACCUUAUCCUCCAUCGUGUUCCAUCACAAAUGACAGCUGACCUCAUGGGUGCAUUUGUAUGUGCCUUAAAAAUAUGAAAGAAUGGAAUGACUGGGAACUAUUAGCCAUGGCUACCUCUAAAUAGGGUGGCCAUCUGUCCCAGUCGGCUGGAUAAAUAUCUGGUCUACACUUGUCGUUCUGGUGUAAUUAUUCAUUGUUUCAUUUGUUAGUGGCCUGGUUUGGACAAUGAGUUAUAUGGUUACCCUCCCUUCCCCUGAGAACUGGAGUUGGGGCAAGAGUAAUGGGAAACUGGGUAUUACAUACAUGACUUGGUGUAGUUUACAGAAAGCAAGUGUUAUUUUUAUAAGGUAAAUUGAGGAUUAGGCCCCUAAUACAUUAUGCCAUGGUUCUCUGUUGAGCCACCAUGCGUGGUCAUUACUAAGGGAGAAGUUACCUUCUUUGUUUUUGUCUGAUAUCUGAGCAUCUCCUUUUUUCACUUUAAAUAAUAAGUCUUCAGUCACCUCACUGAAGAUGUUCCUUGUCUGAGAAAUGAACUUAUUAGCAUCCCCACUAAUAGGCUUUUUCAAUGACCUAGUGGGGAUUUUUGCAUUUCCUUCUUUCAUUUGGCUCCUAGGUCAUUGAAAUGAAAUCCUCCUUUGGAAAAACAACACACCUUUCGGAAAAAUGUAAAAAUUGUGGCCUUCCCCACCCCCGGGUUCCGCAAACAUAAAUUUAGACACAAUAGGAGUCAGAAUUAUUAAAUGAGCUCCAUGCAAACUCUUGACCUAGAGUGGGCUUCAGAGUUGGCUGGGUUCCUCUUUUCUCUGCUUCCCAGUAAAAUUCUAGAGGAAAUGGGGAUGGGUGGGAAGUGGCUGCAGUUAAAAAAUAGCAGUGAUUCAGACAGAGCAGACAUCAGAGCACCUUGGAUGUGCCAGGCACCAUGCUGGGUGAUUUCUCAUCUGUCAUCGUCUAUAUUCUUUAUCAGAACUCUUUCAGAGUAUUAUUAGCUCCAUUUUAUGCCUAUGGAAACAGAGGCUCAGAAAAGCCAAGUACCUGCGGCAGGUACUUGGGCUUCCAAUUUGGCUCUUUUGUUUUGGGAUUAUUUAUUUAUUUAAAUUUAUUUUCUUUUUGCGGCUGUACCUGCGGCAUAUGGGAGUUCCUGGGCUAGGGGUUGAAUUGGAGCUGCAGCUGCUGGCCUAUGCUACAGCCACAGCAAUGCUGGAGCUGAGCUGCAUCUGUGACUUAUGCUGCAGCUUGCAGCAACGCUGGAUCCUUAACCCACUGAGCAAGGCCAGGGAUCAAACCCACCUCCUCAUGGACACUAUGUUAGGGUCUUAACCUGCUGAGCCACAACAGGAACUCCCGAUUUGGGAUUUUGGUGCUCAAUCUGCUUUACUAGAACUUGUCUACCUCAGCACGAUUGCCAUUUUGUGCAGAAUAAUUCCUUGCGUUGGGGGCUGUGGUGGGUGUUGUAAAGUAUUUAGCUCAUUCUUGCAUCUUUGGCCCCUACUUAUUAGAUACCAGUAAACCCUCUCACCCACUAGUUUUAAUAAUCUAAAUGUGUCUUUAGACAUUGCUAGAAGUCUCCGAAUGAGGCAUGGCAUUGCACACAAUAGUCCCUGGUUGAGAACGACGACAGUACACCAAAAUCAGAGAACAUCGCAGAAUCCAGACAGAUCAAGAGUUAAGAACAGGCCAGCAAAGGUAGAGACCAUUACGUUAGUCACUCUGUGUAUUCUCGGUCUCAUUUUUUCUUUGCAUGUCAUUUGUAUUACCUGGGAAGUAGGAAGAAGCAGUUGAAAAUCAUUAGUUAACAUCCGUGCUGGUCAAAAUGUUGAAAAGGAUGAAGAUACUGGACUAAGAAGACAUUUCUUAGCUUAUUAAUCUUGGUCAUCCUCUGCUCCUCUUCACCUUGGCCCAUCAGGGAUAUACUCUCACCACGAAGACUCAUGUUAAGAAAUUGCAUGGGACUCCAUUCUGAGUUAUAGCAAGAGGCUUCGGCGAAACUCUUCAGUGAUAUUUGGUCUUUGUGCCCUGCAUUUCUCUGUAAAGACCCUACAAGUCUAUUACUCAGUAAGUUAAUGGCUCAUUUCUGGGAAGUCCCCGUUAAAUGAGUUAACAAAGCCUCUCCAUCUGCUUUUCUUAUCCAUUUCCACCUCUUCUUUUUGUAAUUGGCUGUUUAUUUCUGAGCCUUAAUAUCUUGGCUUUGUGUUUCAAGGCAAGGCUGGUGAUAGGGAACUUUUAAUCUAUUCUUAUAUUUAUAUGUCCAAGAAAAACUUGGAAUGAAUGGUUGCUAGAUAAAAUACAGUUUAUAUUACAGAAAUUUAGUAGUUCAUGAUAUAAUUACUUUUCUUUGUCCUUUGCUACAAACUAAGUUUAAGAUAUUACUUGAUGACCUAUCCAAGAAAAAUUUUAAGUGUUUCACAGAUUAAAGCCUGUAUGCAUUUUAAAGUUGGAUGUUUCAGGUUAGCCAACUAUAGAUAAUGUCAGUACUUGUUCUUUUAAACUUUUUUUCACAUUUUGCUGUUUUUCUUUUUCCGUGUUCUUUUUCAUUUAUAGGAUGUAAUUUUAAAAUACCCACUUUGCUAUUCAUUUCAUUUAAAACAAGCACAAGCAAACCUGAUGGAGACAAAUUUAAGUGAUACAGGGAGAGUUAGAGCUAUGGAAAGAGGAAAUAUUUGAGUGUCUGUUGGGUAUUGUAUUAGCCCUUUAAAAAAGUUACCUCAGUUUCUUUCUUUUCACUUUGGUUUUCUUUUUUCUUUCUUUCUUUUUUUUUUUUUUUUUUUUUUUUGCUUCAGAUUUGCAUUUUACUUAAUCUUGGAAAAAUGACAUAUCAAAUAGUAUAAUACUGUGAACUGGUCAUAGUUCACUCUCUUCUCCUUCCCAUUUCUUGGUGAAGUAUAUUGUUCAGCUCCUUGGAAAGCAAAUUCAGGGAUGGAGAUGACCAUAUGGGACCUCUGUUCAGGAAUGCUCUAGGGAUCAACUCCUCUGGAGGAGAAUUUAGGUUGUUGGGUAGUGUCAGCUCACCCCAGCUUGAUCCACAGCUGCGUUUGAGUCCUACACCACAGCUCACGGCAGUGCUGGAUUCUUAACCCACUGAGCAAGGCCAGGGCUGAACCCAAGUCCUUGUGGACACUAGUCGAGUUUAUUACUGCUGAGAACUCCCAUUGUGUUUGGAUUUGAAUUCACCCUCACCUAGUCCCCAUACGUAUACUUUUACUACUCUGUGACUGUUGCGAUGUUAGUUGCCACAGAAAAGGAUACUCAGAGCAAUCCUUUUCAUUGUCCAUGUGGCUUUACAUCUGCUGCAGUGUGGGGACACCUCUGAGGUUUGCUGAAUUGGCUUUCUCCAACAUCCUUUUUGUCAUGGGGGGUUGAAAGGCAAGGUGAAAUCAUUUGUCCCAGCUGAAUCAUCGGCCGGAAGAGCAGUCUGAACUCUAGCCCUCUAUUAUGUUCCUCAGCCAGGGGAAAUGGGUGUCCCUCCAGUUCCCUGCGGAAGCACUUGACUCACCAGUCCCCUUAGCAUUUACAUCCCACAGGUAACACUUGUCUUCCUCCGAGAAAGCUUUUAAGUCCUGGUCCUUUGCUUACCGCUGGCUGGCAUUCUGCAUGCCCCCCCACGGCACCAGAGCCAGGACCAGCUAUAAAAUAUUUCCUGUGUCAUGGCUCAGUGGUUAACGAACCUGACCAGGAUCUGUCAGGUUUGAUCCCUGGCCUUACUCAUUGGGUUAAGGAUCUGGCGUUGCUGUGAGCUGUGGUGUAGGUCGCAGAUGCGGCUCGGAUCUGGCGUCGAUGUGGCUUUGGUGUAGGCAGGCAUCUACAGCUCUGAUUCGACCCCUAGCCUGGGAACCUCCAUAUACCACGGGUGCAGCU
RNAcentral lists this long non-coding RNA (7058 nucleotides) under Sus scrofa (pig). Its description in RNAcentral is "lncRNA (ENSSSCG00050009035.1)". The record is from RNAcentral. Lineage: Eukaryota; Metazoa; Chordata; Mammalia; Artiodactyla; Suidae.